UACGUAGGGGGCAAGCGUUGUCCGGAUUUAUUGGGCGUAAAGAGCGUGUAGGCGGCCUGACAGGUCUGCUGUGAAAACUCGAGGCUCAACCUCGAGACGUCGGCGGAAACCAUCUGGCUAGAGUCCGGAAGAGGAGAGUGGAAUUCCUGGUGUAGCGGUGAAAUGCGCAGAUAUCAGGAGGAACACCGGUGGCGAAGGCGGGUCUCUGGGCCGAUACUGACGCUGAGGAGCGAAAGCGUGGGGAGCGAACAGG
This 253-nucleotide ribosomal RNA is filed under the name uncultured bacterium. RNAcentral describes it as "partial 16S ribosomal RNA". It matches the Rfam family "Bacterial small subunit ribosomal RNA", at positions 524 to 776 of the family's 1533-position model. The record is from RNAcentral.